GCCUGGAUAGCUCAGCUGGUUAGAGCGUGGUGCUGAUAACGCCAAGGCUGCAGGUUCAAUCCCCGUAUGGGACA
This 74-nucleotide transfer RNA is filed under the name Podarcis lilfordi (Lilford's wall lizard). RNAcentral describes it as "tRNA.Ile". The stretch from base 8 to 66 matches the Rfam family "tRNA", at positions 8 to 63 of the family's 71-position model. From Rfam's summary of the family: Transfer RNA (tRNA) molecules are approximately 80 nucleotides in length. Their secondary structure includes four short double-helical elements and three loops (D, anti-codon, and T loops). The record is from RNAcentral. Lineage: Eukaryota; Metazoa; Chordata; Lepidosauria; Squamata; Lacertidae.